UUGGAGAGGUGCACCCUGGGAUCUGUCCAGGAUCAGAAACUCUUGGAGCCAGCCCAGCCAGAGGUACUGCCCAAGGACUUGUUCUCCAAAGCUUCCAGUCAUGAAAGUGCUCAGCCCAAGCUCCCAGGGGCAACAGUUCUUGGUGUGAGGAACAUGGACUUGCCCUUCCCUCUGCACCAGCUUGACCUGGCCAGUUCCUUGUGGCUAACAGAGUGGACAUCUGUCACUGUCUGCCUGGGGCAGGGUGAAGACCAGGAGAUGUCUGAGAAAGUCUCCCUGGAGCUGGAAAGUGGCAUUACUGAAACAUUCCAGAAACGAGCUGAAGUCACUCAAGGAAGGCCUUGGGAACUAGGGUUUGGCCCGGUGGGCAGCGCAUGGUAGACAUUCACACGCGCUCCAGCACUGAACACUGCGACCUGGCAGAGAUUUUGUGCUUGUCCUCUGCAAAUGAAUUCAUCCUGUCCUCACAAUGGCUGGUGUGGAGACCCACAGGCUUGCACCAGGGAAGAGUCCUUGAACCCAGCUGGGCUCUCCAACAACGUGCCUGCUGCAGCUGCAGUGGAAGCUGAUAAUUGCUCAGAAAGCUCAGACACAGAGUCCUCUGGGACUUCAUCCUUAGGACGGACCUUCAGGCACCCAGGCUGCCUACUGACCUCCCUGGCAUGGGUGGGAACCGGGAGCUCGUUGGUAAGCAGGAGGAUUCAGGACUAUCGACUGAACCCCACCUCCUCUGUGGCACGCACCGUGCUGUGUCUUUGCAGUCAUCAUCUCAUCACCUCUGCACAGGAAGAUUAUCUCCCCCAUUUUGUGAUGAGGAAAUGGAGGCUCCAGGUGGAAAGAUGCAACCUGGGCCAGAGGCCCCUGGAGGUUGUGCCUGAACCCAGACAGAUCACACAAACCUGAGCAGCCAUUAGCCGCUGUGUGGGCUCCUUUGCACUGUGGGGCUGCUCCUGGGGAUAUUUACGUUGUGAACUGGUAAAAUCUGAACUGCAGAAUAUCAAUUUCCAGACAUUCUUCCUAGAUGAUGCCGUCUGCCACGGGGACCUCUAUCACCCAAAGGGAAACAGCCGUCUAUCUACGAAGCUGUGAUCUCCCCUACAAGCAAGAGAACUCAAUUGCCAGGAGGUCUUUGCUUUUUCUGGCUUCCAGAGAAUGCAGAAAUUUCAAGGAGCCACUAUUGGGCUCCUUCCCUAUAGGAUGUUGGGCCAGGCAACAGAACAAACCUCCUGAGGCACUUCUACCUGGGAAUGCCCUCCUGAGGCCAAUGGCAGCCCUCUGAUGAAGAUACUAUAGUAUUUAUUUUUUGUACACGCUGGUGAUCAUCCAGUGUACAUCUCUGCUUAGUGAACCUUCAUGAACUGGAGGCUGAAUAUUCUCAUCCUGCAUUGAUAGAACCACGUAGGCUGGUUCUAGGCUGUUUUCUGUGCAACACUCAACAUGACAAUAAUAAUGAUGAUGAUGCUAAUGAUGAUUGUAAAA
This 1479-nucleotide long non-coding RNA is filed under the name Homo sapiens (human). RNAcentral describes it as "long intergenic non-protein coding RNA 539". Lineage: Eukaryota; Metazoa; Chordata; Mammalia; Primates; Hominidae. The record is from RNAcentral.